This 253-nucleotide ribosomal RNA is filed under the name uncultured bacterium. Its description in RNAcentral is "partial 16S ribosomal RNA". It matches the Rfam family "Bacterial small subunit ribosomal RNA", at positions 524 to 776 of the family's 1533-position model. The record is from RNAcentral.
UACGGAGGGUGCAAGCGUUAUCCGGAUUCACUGGGUUUAAAGGGUGCGUAGGUGGGGAUGUAAGUCAGUGGUGAAAUCUCUGUGCUUAACAUGGAAACUGCCAUUGAUACUAUGUUUCUUGAAUUUUCUGGAGGUAAGCGGAAUAUGUCAUGUAGCGGUGAAAUGCUUAGAUAUGACAUAGAACACCAAUUGCGAAGGCAGCUUGCUACAGGGAUAUUGACACUGAGGCACGAAAGCGUGGGGAUCAAACAGG